UUUAGCUUAUGUCUCCAUAUGUUUGUUAAUAUGGUAGUUACUGUUUGUUAUUAUUGUAUUAUUGCAUGCGACUGUAUUUAUGUUGCUUAUGUUUUCAUGAGUACUUACAUUAUUAUUGCAGGAGUACCUAUGCUUUAUUAUUUGUUUUGUUUUGCUUGUGUUUCUAAUUUUACCUUUGUUUUCGUAAUGCAGCUUUCCCUCUUUUUAUCCUACACGCCGAGGGUCGUUUGGAAACAGCCCC
RNAcentral lists this long non-coding RNA (241 nucleotides) under Nicotiana benthamiana. Its description in RNAcentral is "long non-coding RNA (NBEN_LNC034414)". The record is from RNAcentral. Lineage: Eukaryota; Viridiplantae; Streptophyta; Magnoliopsida; Solanales; Solanaceae.